AUUGGAGGGCAAGUCUGGUGCCAGCAGCCGCGGUAAUUCCAGCUCCAAUAGCGUAUAUUAAAGUUGUUGCAGUUAAAAAGCUCGUAGUUGGAUUUCUGUUAAUAAUUUAUAUAAAAUAUUUUGAUGAAUAUUUAUAUAAUAUUAACAUAAUUCAUAUUACUAUAUAUUUUAGUAUAUGAAAUUUUACUUUGAGAAAAUUAGAGUGCUUAAAGCAGGCAUAUGCCUUGAAUACUCCAGCAUGGAAUAAUAUUAAAGAUUUUUAUCUUUCUUAUUGGUUCUAAGAUAAGAAUAAUGAUUAAUAGGGACAGUUGGGGGCAUUUGUAUUUAACAGUCAGAGGUGAAAUUCUUAGAUUUGUUAAAGACAAACUAAUGCGAAAGCAUUUGCCAAGGAUGUUUUCAUUAAUCAAGAACGAAAGUUAGGGGAUCGAAGACGAUCAGAUACCGUCGUAGUCUUAACCAUAAACUAUGCCAACUAGAGAUUGGAGGUUGUUCCUUACUCCUUCAGCACCUUA
This 512-nucleotide ribosomal RNA is filed under the name Cryptosporidium parvum. Its description in RNAcentral is "SSU rRNA". It matches the Rfam family "Eukaryotic small subunit ribosomal RNA", at positions 547 to 1090 of the family's 1831-position model. The record is from RNAcentral. Lineage: Eukaryota; Apicomplexa; Conoidasida; Eucoccidiorida; Cryptosporidiidae.